GGGUGAGGAGCUGUGACUUAGCCCCUGUCCUUCCUCAACGCCACAAAGAGGGGGGUGCCCAAAGAGAAGGCCUGAGGUCCGGCAGCUUUAAAGGGGCCAGUCCUGACCCAAAGCCCUCUCUCUGACCACCCCUCACAACUCCCACAAACUCCCCUCCCAAGGCUGGGCCAGCAGUGCCUGCGGGGGGCUGCCCAGGCGUGGCCCUGCCAUGUGGGACCUGCCUGCAUGGCUCAGCAGGACCCAGUUGAGUCACUGACAGCUGGGUGCUCUCCCUCCAGCACCACGUGUCUCCCUGGCUUCAAAGGAGACCAACUCAGGGCCCAAGUUUCCUCAUGACUGAAAAAUGUUCCACCCUAAAGGACAUGAACAACAGCUUGCCGAGAAAGAAAGAGGACUGAAACAAGUGGCUUUUGAGCACAGGGAGAGACGCUUGGCCACGUACAGCUGCAGGCAGAGAUCUGGGAAACAGACUGUCAGGUAAAGCAGGUACAUGCACCCCUCUGCAGACUAGACCACACACAUAUUUAACACAGUCGUGGCAUGAGAUCCGAAGGCGUGAGAUCUGCCUUCCUGCCCCCAGCAUGCAAUGGUGAAACAGCAUUGCCUCUGGCUGGUGACCUCCCCUGGACUGUUACCACCUCUGCAGAAAGGGGGCAGUAACAGGACCUGCCGCAUAUCUGUUGUCAUGAAGACCACAUGCGCUAAUACACGUGGGAAGCCCUUAGCACAGCGCCUGGGAGAGCGUAAACGCUCGAUGCAAGGCAGAAGAAAGGCGUGUCCUGGUAAGACAGGGCCCUUCCGACCAGGGCUGGUACUAACGCUCCCAGCUCGAGAAUGUGAGCUUCGCGAGGCCAGAGACUUCGGUCUAAAUUGUUUGCUGCUGAAUCUGCAGAGCCAGGAGUGUACCUGGAACACAGUGGCGGCUCCAUCUGGUUGGACAAACAAAUUUUGGGCUUCCGGUUUUGCCCCCAUAUAGUUCAACCUACAUCAGAUGAUGCUGUGCCUUGGAACUCUCCUCGCUCAGAGUCAAAGCCGAAGUUCUCCACAGGCCCUACUGAUCUGUCCCUACCCCGUCCCUAGCAGACCUCUUCUCUUCCCACUCUUGCCCUCACUCACCCUAUGCAGACACACCAGCCCCUCAUGGCUCCUCAUACUCCUGCCUCAGGACCUUCACACAUGCUGAUCCUAUGGUUGGAACCAUAGAUAUCAGUAAGAUUUCUUUCCCCCAGAUGUCAGUAAGAUUUCUGCUUUUCAUCCAGGUUUCUGUUCAAAUGUCACCACCUCCAGAAAGACCGUCCUAGACAUGCUCCACUCAAUGACCUGAAAGGAUCUUGGUGAAAUGUUAAUUUAUUACAUUUUGGGUUUUUGUUUUGUUUUGUUUUGUUUUGGAGACAAGGUCCCGCACUGUUAC
Long non-coding RNA from Sapajus apella (tufted capuchin), 1411 nucleotides. RefSeq lists it as uncharacterized. The transcript is spliced from 3 exons. NCBI's taxonomy places the organism in Eukaryota, Metazoa, Chordata, Mammalia, Primates, Cebidae. The record is from RefSeq and is a predicted model, not a curated record.